RNAcentral lists this ribosomal RNA (519 nucleotides) under uncultured eukaryote. RNAcentral describes it as "SSU rRNA". It matches the Rfam family "Eukaryotic small subunit ribosomal RNA", at positions 1161 to 1698 of the family's 1831-position model. The record is from RNAcentral.
AGGGCACCACCAGGAGUGGAGCCCGCGGCUUAAUUUGACUCAACACGGGAAAACUCACCCGGCCCGGACACUGGAAGGAUUGACAGAUUGAGAGCUCUUUCUUGAUUCAGUGGGUGGUGGUGCAUGGCCGUUCUUAGUUGGUGGAGUGAUUUGUCUGGUUAAUUCCGAUAACGAACGAGACUCUAGCCUAUUAAAUAGAUCGUUGGCUUACAAACGCCGGCGAGACUUCUUAGAGGGACAGGCGGCGAUUCAGCCGCACGAAACAGAGCAAUAACAGGUCUGUGAUGCCCUUAGAUGUCCGGGGCCGCACGCGCGCUACACUGAAGUGAUCAGCGUGCAUUUUGAAACCUACUCUGUCAAGAGUGGGGAACCCAAUGAACCUUCUUCGUGAUUGGGAUAGGGGAUUGUAAUUAUUCCCCUUGAACGAGGAAUUCCCAGUAAGCGCGAAUCAUAAGUUUGCGCUGAUUACGUCCCUGCCCUUUGUACACACCGCCCGUCGCUACUACCGAUUGAAUGUUU